ACGCCGUGGCAAGAAAGUUGGUGAGCAGAAUGUUCUGGAAAGUACAGCCAUAGAGCAUGACAGCUGCGUAUGCGAAGCCAAGCGAAGCCUAGUGGUAUCCUGAGUAGCGCGGAGCACGAGGAAUUCUGCGUGAAUCUGCCGGGACCAUCCGGUAAGGCUAAAUACUCCCGAGAGACCGAUAGUGAACCAGUACUGUGAAGGAAAGGUGAAAAGCACUUCGAACAGAAGAGUGAAAUAGUUCCUGAAACCAUGUGCCUACAAGCGGUCGGAGCACUUUUGUGUGACGGCGUGCCUUUUGCAUAAUGAACCUACGAGUUACUUUUUCCGGCGAGGUUAAGGAUUUCAGAUCUGCAGCCGAAGCGAAAGCGAGUCUGAACAGGGCGUAUAGUCGGAAGGAGUAGACGCGAAACCAAGUGAUCUACCCUUGGGCAGGUUGAAGGAUGGGUAACACCAUCUGGAGGACCGAACCAAUAAGCGUUGAAAAGCUUCUGGAUGACCUGAGGGUGGGGGUGAAAGGCUAAUCAAACUUGG
This 531-nucleotide ribosomal RNA is filed under the name human gut metagenome. Its description in RNAcentral is "bacterial LSU rRNA". It matches the Rfam family "Bacterial large subunit ribosomal RNA", at positions 308 to 842 of the family's 2925-position model. The record is from RNAcentral.